AGAUUGAACGCUGGCGGAAUGCUUUACACAUGCAAGUCGAACGGCAGCACGGGACUCAGGCAACUGAGCCCUGGUGGCGAGUGGCGAACGGGUGAGUAACAUAUCGGAACGUACCCAGUCGUGGGGGAUAACUCUCCGAAAGGAGAGCUAAUACCGCAUACGUCCUGAGGAGAAGCGGGGACCUAAGGGUAACUGAGGGCCUCGCGCGAGUUGGAGCGGCCGUAUAUCGGAAUUAGCGUAGUUGGGUAGGGGUAAAGGCUCACCAAGGCGACGAUCCGUAGCGGGUCUGAGAGGACGACCCGCCACACUGAACUGAGACACGGUACCACGACUACCCGUACGGGAGGCAGGCCUAGGUAGGGUAAGUUUUGGAACGAAGUUGGGGG
This 386-nucleotide ribosomal RNA is filed under the name uncultured soil bacterium. RNAcentral describes it as "bacterial SSU rRNA". It matches the Rfam family "Bacterial small subunit ribosomal RNA", at positions 26 to 378 of the family's 1533-position model. The record is from RNAcentral.